Molecule: ribosomal RNA, 497 nt
Filed under: uncultured bacterium
Lineage: Bacteria
Description: partial 16S ribosomal RNA
Rfam family: Bacterial small subunit ribosomal RNA
Source: RNAcentral
GAUGAACGCUGGCGGCGUGCCUAAUACAUGCAAGUCGAGCGAACAGAUAAGGAGCUUGCUCCUUUGACGUUAGCGGCGGACGGGUGAGUAACACAUGGAUAACCUACCUAUAAGACUGGGAUAACUUCGGGAAACCGGAGCUAAUACCGGAUAACAUAUUGAACCGCAUGGUUCAAUAGUGAAAGGCGGCUUUGCUGUCACUUAUAGAUGGAUCCGCGCCGUAUUAGCUAGUUGGUAAGGUAACGGCUUACCAAGGCAACGAUACGUAGCCGACCUGAGAGGGUGAUCGGCCACACUGGAACUGAGACACGGUCCAGACUCCUACGGGAGGCAGCAGUAGGGAAUCUUCCGCAAUGGGCGAAAGCCUGACGGAGCAACGCCGCGUGAGUGAUGAAGGUCUUCGGAUCGUAAAACUCUGUUAUCAGGGAAGAACAAAUGUGUAAGUAACUGUGCACAUCUUGACGGUACCUGAUCAGAAAGCCACGGCUAACUACGUG